CGCGGAACGAUCCAUUUUCGGUCAAUGUAUUUCAAGCAGUCCAAAUCACUGAUUUAAGUCUGUUUGACAUGAUUCUUUACAAGUGGAUCCCACCCGUGAGGUGCCAGGCCGACCUGUUAGCCUGCUUUGCCCACAUCUAUCCCCCCUCUCCCUUGGUGGGGUCAGGUUUAAGCCGACGUGGCAUCGACAACGUGAGGCCCAUCUGUCAGGAAUUUUAUUAAACAGGCUUAAUCCAGUAUUUUGGUACUACUUGAGACGGACUGUAUUAAAAAUGAGUGGUUCCGCGAACA
This is a non-coding RNA of Brachypodium distachyon (stiff brome), 290 nucleotides long. The record is from RefSeq and is marked provisional. NCBI's taxonomy places the organism in Eukaryota, Viridiplantae, Streptophyta, Magnoliopsida, Poales, Poaceae.